AUUGAACGCCGGCGGAAUGCUUUACACAUGCAAGUCGAACGGCAGCACGGGGGCAACCCUGGUGGCGAGUGGCGAACGGGUGAGUAAUACAUCGGAACGUGCCCAGUCGUGGGGGAUAACGUAGCGAAAGUUACGCUAAUACCGCAUACGAUCUACGGAUGAAAGCGGGGGACCGUAAGGCCCCGCGCGAUUGGAGCGGCCGAUGUCAGAUUAGGUAGUUGGUGAGGUAAAGGCUCACCAAGCCGACGAUCUGGAGCUGGUCUGAGGGGACGACCAGCCACGAUGGGAAUGAGACAAGGCCCAGACUCCAACGGGAGGCAGAAGUGGGGAAUUUUGGACAAUGGGCGCAAGCGUGAUCCAGCCAUUCCGCGUGCAGGACGAAGGCCUUCGGGUUGUAAACUGCUUUUGUACGGAACGAAAAGGCUCUGGUUAAUACCUGGGGCUCAUGACGGUACCGUAAGAAUAAGCACCGGCUAACUACGUGCCAGCCGCCGCGGUAA
RNAcentral lists this ribosomal RNA (500 nucleotides) under uncultured bacterium. RNAcentral's name for it is "partial 16S ribosomal RNA". It matches the Rfam family "Bacterial small subunit ribosomal RNA", at positions 29 to 523 of the family's 1533-position model. The record is from RNAcentral.